AUGAACGCUGGCGGCGUGCCUAAUACCUGCCAGUCGCGCGAACAGACGAGGAGCUUGCUCCUCUGACGUUAGCGGCGGACGGGUGAGUAACACGUGGAUAACCUACCUAUAAGACUGGGAUAACUUCGGGAAACCGGAGCUAAUACCGGAUAAUAUAUUGAACCGCAUGGUUCAAUAGUGAAAGACGGUUUUGCUGUCACUUAUAGAUGGAUCCGCGCCGCAUUAGCUAGUUGGUAAGGUAACGGCUUACCAAGGCAACGAUGCGUAGCCGACCUGAGAGGGUGAUCGGCCACACUGGAACUGAGACACGGUCCAGACUCCUACGGGAGGCAGCAGUAGGGAAUCUUCCGCAAUGGGCGAAAGCCUGACGGAGCAACGCCGCGUGAGUGAUGAAGGUCUUCGGAUCGUAAAACUCUGUUAUUAGGGAAGAACAAAUGUGUAAGUAACUAUGCACGUCUUGACGGUACCUAAUCAGAAAGCCACGGCUAACUACGUG
RNAcentral lists this ribosomal RNA (496 nucleotides) under uncultured bacterium. RNAcentral's name for it is "partial 16S ribosomal RNA". It matches the Rfam family "Bacterial small subunit ribosomal RNA", at positions 29 to 507 of the family's 1533-position model. The record is from RNAcentral.